ACGCUCGACACCUACGGGGGCAGCAGUGGGGAAUAUUGCACAAUGGGGGAAACCCUGAUGCAGCGACGCCGCGUGAGUGAAGAAGUAUUUCGGUAUGUAAAGCUCUAUCAGCAGGGAAGAAGAUGACGGUACCUGAGUAAGAAGCCCCGGCUAACUACGUGCCAGCAGCCGUGGUAAUCUGAGCGGGCUGGCAAGGC
Molecule: ribosomal RNA, 197 nt
Filed under: uncultured bacterium
Lineage: Bacteria
Description: partial 16S ribosomal RNA
Rfam family: Bacterial small subunit ribosomal RNA
Source: RNAcentral